UACGUAGGGCGCAAGCGUUGUCCGGAAUUAUUGGGCGUAAAGGGCUCGUAGGCGGUUUGUCGCGUCGGGAGUGAAAACCCAGGGCUUAACUCUGGGCUUGCUUUCGAUACGGGCAGACUAGAGGUAUGCAGGGGAGAACGGAAUUCCUGGUGUAGCGGUGAAAUGCGCAGAUAUCAGGAGGAACACCGGUGGCGAAGGCGGUUCUCUGGGCAUUACCUGACGCUGAGGAGCGAAAGUGUGGGGAGCGAACAGG
RNAcentral lists this ribosomal RNA (253 nucleotides) under uncultured bacterium. RNAcentral describes it as "partial 16S ribosomal RNA". It matches the Rfam family "Bacterial small subunit ribosomal RNA", at positions 524 to 776 of the family's 1533-position model. The record is from RNAcentral.